UACAGAGGUCUCAAGCGUUGUUCGGAUUCAUUGGGCGUAAAGGGUGCGUAGGCGGCGGCGUAAGUCGGGUGUGAAAUCCCAGGGCUCAACCCUGGAACUGCACUCGAUACUGCGUCGCUGGAGGACUGGAGAGGAGACUGGAAUUCACGGUGUAGCAGUGAAAUGCGUAGAUAUCGUGAGGAACACCAGUGGCGAAGGCGAGUCCCUGGACAACUCCUGACACUGAGGCACGAAAGCUAGGGGAGCAAACAGG
RNAcentral lists this ribosomal RNA (253 nucleotides) under uncultured bacterium. RNAcentral describes it as "partial 16S ribosomal RNA". It matches the Rfam family "Bacterial small subunit ribosomal RNA", at positions 524 to 776 of the family's 1533-position model. The record is from RNAcentral.